This 700-nucleotide ribosomal RNA is filed under the name uncultured beta proteobacterium. Its description in RNAcentral is "bacterial SSU rRNA". It matches the Rfam family "Bacterial small subunit ribosomal RNA", at positions 66 to 763 of the family's 1533-position model. The record is from RNAcentral. Lineage: Bacteria; Pseudomonadati; Pseudomonadota; Betaproteobacteria.
GCAGCACGGGUGCUUGCACCUGGUGGCGAGUGGCGAACGGGUGAGUAAUACAUCGGAACGUACCUUAUCGUGGGGGAUAACGCAGCGAAAGCUGUGCUAAUACCGCAUACGCCCUGAGGGGGAAAGCGGGGGAUCGAAAGACCUCGCGCGAUUAGAGCGGCCGAUGCCUGAUUAGCUUGUUGGUGGGGUAAAAGCCCACCAAGGCGACGAUCAGUAGCUGGUCUGAGAGGACGAUCAGCCACACUGGGACUGAGACACGGCCCAGACUCCUACGGGAGGCAGCAGUGGGGAAUUUUGGACAAUGGGGGAAACCCUGAUCCAGCAAUGCCGCGUGAGUGAAGAAGGCCUUCGGGUUGUAAAGCUCUUUUGUCAGGGAAGAAACACCGGCUCUAACACAGUCCGGGAAUGACGGUACCUGAAGAAUAAGUACCGGCUAACUACGUGCCAGCAGCCGCGGUAAUACGUAGGGUGCGAGCGUUAAUCGGAAUUACUGGGCGUAAAGCGUGCGCAGGCGGUUAUACAAGACAGGCGUGAAAUCCCCGGGCUUAACCUGGGAAUGGCGCCUGUGACUGUAUAGCUAGAGUGUGUCAGAGGGGGGUAGAAUUCCACGUGUAGCAGUGAAAUGCGUAGAUAUGUGGAGGAAUACCAAUGGCGAAGGCAGCCCCCUGGGAUAACACUGACGCUCAUGCACGAAAGCGUG